GCUUCAUCCUGACAGAGCUUGUACAUUCAGUACCUAGAGUUCUUGAGGGAACAAAGGGGAGAAAGCUAAAACAGAACAGCCAGCCACAUAGAAUGAGGGUGGGGAGAAAUGUUGAUAGCUCUGAGAAUCAAAUGACUGAACCACAAAUGGAAAUGAAGACCUUGCCAAAACCCUAGCUGACCUGACCACAUUCAAGUACCCUUGAAGAAAUGAGGAAGAAGAAGAAAAAAAAAAAAAAAAAAAAAAAGGAAA
Long non-coding RNA from Peromyscus leucopus (white-footed mouse), 252 nucleotides. RefSeq lists it as uncharacterized. Lineage: Eukaryota; Metazoa; Chordata; Mammalia; Rodentia; Cricetidae. The record is from RefSeq and is a predicted model, not a curated record. The transcript is spliced from 2 exons.